UGGUUGAUCCCGCCGGAGGCUACCGCUAUUGGAGUUCGAUUAAGCCAUGCGAGUCGCGAGUCUUAGGGACUCGGCGUACCGCUCAGUAACACGUGGGUAACCUGCCCUAUGCUGGGGGAUAACCUCGGGAAACUGAGAAUAAUACCCCAUAGUUCACCACGCCUGGAACGGUGGGUGGAUGAAAGCUCCGGCGGCAUAGGAUGGGCCUGCGGCGUAUCAGGUUGUAGGGGGUGUAAUGUACCCUCUAGCCAUCUACGCGUACGGGUGUUGGGAGACAUCGCCCGGAGAUGGAUUCUGAGACACGAAUCCAGACCCUACGGGGUGCAGCAGGCGCGAAAACUUGGCAAUGCGAGCAAUCGUGACCAGGGAACUCCAAGUGCAUCGGGUAAGACCGAUGCUUUUCUUGACUCUUCAAAGGUCUUGGAAUAAGGGGUGGGUAAGGACGGUGCCAGCCGCCGCGGUAAUACCGGCGCCUCAAGUGGUAGUCGCUUUUAUUGGGCCUAAAACGUCCGUAGCCGGUUUGGUACAUUCGUGGGUAAAUCAAGGCGCUCAACGUCUUGAAUUCUGCGAGCACGGCCAGACUUGGGACCGGGUGAGGUGUGGGGUACUCUCAGGGUAGGGGUAAAAUCCUGUCAUCCUGAGAGGACCACCUGUUGCGAAGGCGCCACACUAGAACGGAUCCGACGGUCAGGGACGAAGCCUAGGGGCACGAACCGGAUUAGAUACCCGGGUAGUCCUAGGUGUAAACGCUGUGGACUUGAUGUUGGGAGUGCUCCGAGCACCCUCAGUGUCGAAGCGAAGGUGAUAAGUCCACUGCCUGGGGAGUACGGUCGCAAGGCUGAAACUUAAAGGAAUUGGCGGGGGAGCACUGCAACCUGAGGAUUGUGCGGUUUAAUUGGAGUCAACGCCGGA
This 912-nucleotide ribosomal RNA is filed under the name uncultured marine archaeon. RNAcentral describes it as "bacterial SSU rRNA". It matches the Rfam family "Archaeal small subunit ribosomal RNA", at positions 5 to 922 of the family's 1478-position model. The record is from RNAcentral.